This 285-nucleotide ribosomal RNA is filed under the name Triticum aestivum (bread wheat). RNAcentral's name for it is "partial small subunit ribosomal RNA". The record is from RNAcentral. Lineage: Eukaryota; Viridiplantae; Streptophyta; Magnoliopsida; Poales; Poaceae.
AUGAGGCAACUGCAGUUCAAAUUUGACCCGCUUCCAGCUGAAUGGGCAGGAAUUUGUCUUUUUCACGAGUGGUUGAUCAAAACUUUUGACACCCAACCAUUUGGGACGUUGUGGCUCAUGGGGGUCGCGGGAUCCAUCGCCUACAACUGGUCCAGGCCCGGCAUGAAGACCAGCGUCAAGCUCAUCCACGACAGGUUCUUUACUAUUUUCCAUAACCAUUAUCUUACAUUUUUGGCAUUGAGCAUUGGUGGAUCUCAACAGCUAUAUGAUGAAUACACAUCAUGA